AAGGACAGAAGAGAGAGUAGACCCAGCCUUGGCCCUGCUAGGCUGGGCAGCCUGGCAGGUAGAGUCAGCAGGGGUAGAGCUUGCUUUCCUGUUCACAAUCUUCAACCAAGUUCAGGGAGGUCUGAGUACUGAGGUCUUCAGAGCCACUGCAGCCCCAGGUAGCUGAGGACAACCUCCAAGCGCAGGAGCGCAAAGGCUGGCGUUCUUCAGGCUCUGAGGCUGUCCCUCCUGGUGGAGGUGAACUGCUUAUUAUCGGUGUGGACAAGACUGUGGAUAAAGUUUGCUGAACCCUAGAGAGAAGUCAUGGCCCAUGGCUGGCAGAUGGAAGCCUCAGGACCUGAAGAUUUCUCAAAGAAAGGGACCUGCUGCUGAGAGCAAUUAAUACAUGUUCACAGCUUGCAGCUGAAGCCUGAUGAUGGCUGUAGGAUAAAGGACAUCACCCAGAUGACAUUUUGCCUCCAAAGCUCUGGGGACCAAUUGUGGAAGAACUGCAGGGAUAUUAUGUUAGAAUGUUCUUGUGUCUGGAUAGGAUGAGAACUGUCUUAUAACAAAGUGCAGCCCCCAUGUCUGAGGGCAUGUUUCCUGUGUUUAGGCACUUCUGAAGCAGGGAGCACCUUCAGGGGGCACUGGCCUUCCCAGAAAGAGUGUUUGACCUGUGAUGAUGUCCUGGGGGAGGGGACCUAGAAAAAAACCUUAGCCUUUCCAUAGGCACGAUUAUUCUCCUCUAUAGAGCCUCAAAAGUCAAGUCAAGUAGUAAGCACACUGUGCUCCAGUCUGUGGCCACAGACACACACAAGGACUGGAGCAAAACCAAACAUAGUGUAUCAUCACCACUGAGCCCCCAGGAGCCCCCAGAUGCUUCUGAACGUCAAAGGAGAAAGAAGCUGUCAGAGAUCAGGCUGACUGUGGUGGGUUAGGUGUGCGGCAUUGCCUCUGGGUCCCUGCUUUAGUUUAAUCAAACUAAAUCUGGUGGUGAA
Molecule: long non-coding RNA, 977 nt
Filed under: Pongo abelii (Sumatran orangutan)
Lineage: Eukaryota; Metazoa; Chordata; Mammalia; Primates; Hominidae
Description: lincRNA
Source: RNAcentral